GAAUAGUUUCAUUGCCUUUAUCUGAGAAUGAUGAUGAUGAUGAUUUGAUGUUGAAUCCUAAGUAUCAUAAUGUGGAGUUCUUGAUUACUACUGGACCUGGUCCUGUUCCUCAGCUUGAUAGUAAGAAUAUUGUUGAUUAGAAAUACAGAGACAAUUGAAUCUAAAGCUUUUAUUUUGGAACACAAUAGGGGUGGAAUAGUUUCAUUGCCUUUAUCUGAGAAUGAUGAUGAUGAUGAUUUGAAGUUGAAUCCUAAGUAUCAUAAUGUGGAGUUCUUGAUUACUACUGGACCUGGUCCUGUUCCUCAGCUUGAUAGUAAGAAUAUUGUUUUUGGAACUGUUCUUGAAGGUGAGUCCUCAAAUCUAUAAAUUUAUCUCUUUUAGUUGAGUUGAGUUAACUUAUAUACGUGACGAUAUAAAGAAUGUUUACUUAUUUGUCCAUUUAAACUUGUUGUAGGAGGUAACAUGCCUUAUAUCCCAGCUAAUAAUAAUCUCAAUAUUUAUGAUCAGCUAGUGUUGUUAUCUUUUAGGUGAUCUCAUAGUAUAAAAGAAAUUUUACGUUGUGGGUGUAUAGAAGUUGAACACUUUAGCUAAUCUCACUAUAGUUUACCGGAUGAACUAAGGUCGGAAGACUUAUUUUUCUUUUAGUUGGCAUAUAUGCAUGUUUAGUGUAAAGGGGAGCUUUGGCGUAACCGAUAAAAUUGCCGCCAUGUGACCAGUUUGCCACAGAUUCGAGCCAGGCUGUACUUUAUAUGCAUGUUUAGUGUAAAAGGGUUGUGCUUUGUAUGCAUGUUUAGUGUGAAAGUAUGUUGUGA
Molecule: long non-coding RNA, 812 nt
Filed under: Nicotiana benthamiana
Lineage: Eukaryota; Viridiplantae; Streptophyta; Magnoliopsida; Solanales; Solanaceae
Description: long non-coding RNA (NBEN_LNC040211)
Source: RNAcentral